Molecule: ribosomal RNA, 503 nt
Filed under: uncultured bacterium
Lineage: Bacteria
Description: partial 16S ribosomal RNA
Rfam family: Bacterial small subunit ribosomal RNA
Source: RNAcentral
AACGAACGCUGGCGGCGUGUUUAAGACAUGCAAGUCGCACGGGACUAUUUGAGUAGCAAUACAAGAAUAGUUUAGUGGCGCACGGGUGAGUAACACGUGAAUUACAUGCCCUGCAGAGGGGGAUAGCCCAGGGAAACUUGGGUUAAUACCCCAUGGUAUCGCAAGAUUAAAGGUGGCCGCAAGGCUGUCGCUGCAGGAUUGGUUCGCGCCCUAUCAGCUUGUUGGUGAGGUAACGGCUCACCAAGGCUACGACGGGUACCUGGUCUGAGAGGACGAUCAGGCACACUGGAACUGAGACACGGUCCAGACACCUACGGGUGGCAGCAGUCGAGAAUAAUUCACAAUGGGGGCAACCCUGAUGGUGCAACGCCGCGUGGAGGAUGAAGGUCUUCGGAUUGUAAACUCCUGUCAUCCGGGAGUAAGACCUGGCGAUGAAUAGUCGACAGGGUUGAUAGUACCGGAAGAGGAAGGGACGGCUAACUUCGUGCCAGCCGCCGCGGUAA